Molecule: transfer RNA, 62 nt
Filed under: Scipinia horrida
Lineage: Eukaryota; Metazoa; Arthropoda; Insecta; Hemiptera; Reduviidae
Description: tRNA-Ala
Source: RNAcentral
GGGAUAGUAGUUAACAAUAACAUUUAAUUUGCAAUUAAAAGGUGCUUAAUUAGCCUAUCUCA